RNAcentral lists this ribosomal RNA (253 nucleotides) under uncultured bacterium. RNAcentral's name for it is "partial 16S ribosomal RNA". It matches the Rfam family "Bacterial small subunit ribosomal RNA", at positions 524 to 776 of the family's 1533-position model. The record is from RNAcentral.
UACGUAGGUGGCAAGCGUUGUCCGGAUUUAUUGGGUUUAAAGGGUGCGUAGGCGGUUUCCUAAGUCAGUUGUGAAAUACGGCAGCUCAACUGUCGAGGUGCAAUUGAUACUGGGAAACUUGAGUACUGAUGAGGUAAGCGGAAUGGACGGUGUAGCGGUGAAAUGCUUAGAUAUCGUCCAGAACACCGAUAGCGAAGGCAGCUUACUAAGGAGUAACUGACGCUGAGGCACGAAAGUGUGGGGAUCAAACAGG